Daucus carota subsp. sativus is the source of this 451-nucleotide long non-coding RNA. RefSeq lists it as uncharacterized. The record is from RefSeq and is a predicted model, not a curated record. The transcript has 3 exons. NCBI's taxonomy places the organism in Eukaryota, Viridiplantae, Streptophyta, Magnoliopsida, Apiales, Apiaceae.
CUGUUGAUGUGGUAAGCACACAACAUCGUUUCACUUUAAUGUUACAUUAAUUCACAUAAUAGAAUAAUCUAAAGGCAAAUAAAAAAUCACACUUGAGAUUCCGUGUUUUUUUUAUUUUGAGCGUUGAACACUUAAGUUGACCACCUGAGAAUAUAUAGCAUUACUCAACACCUGAAGUAGCUGAGUGAAGAUAGAAUGGAGUUUGUAAGGUUUUUAGUGCUGAUGAUCACAAGUCUUGUCCUGCUUUUGCACAACUCAUGUGCUCUUGUUGUUCAUCACCAAGGAAGGAAACUGAAGGGGAACUCUCCGAUGGCUAGCCAAGAAAAUUUAGCACCUGCUAAAAUGGGACUUAUUCAUCGUGAUUCUUAAUCUGAUGCUGUCGGGGGAAACCAGCAGCAAUGGAACUACUAGGUAUUAAAACACCUAUGCCCUUAGAUACAUACAAAAUAUU